Molecule: ribosomal RNA, 490 nt
Filed under: uncultured Bacteroidales bacterium
Lineage: Bacteria; Pseudomonadati; Bacteroidota; Bacteroidia; Bacteroidales
Description: bacterial SSU rRNA
Rfam family: Bacterial small subunit ribosomal RNA
Source: RNAcentral
UCCGGGUUGAAAACUCCGGUGGUUAUAGAUGGACAUGCGUUGUAUUAGCUAGUUGGUGAGGUAACGGCUCACCAAGGCAACGAUACAUAGGGGGACUGAGAGGUUAACCCCCCACACUGGUACUGAGACACGGACCAGACUCCUACGGGAGGCAGCAGUGAGGAAUAUUGGUCAAUGGACGCAAGUCUGAACCAGCCAUGCCGCGUGCAGGAAGACGGCUCUAUGAGUUGUAAACUGCUUUUGUACGAGGGUAAACUCACCUACGUGUAGGUGACUGAAAGUAUCGUACGAAUAAGGAUCGGCUAACUCCGUGCCAGCAGCCGCGGUAAUACGGAGGAUUCAAGCGUUAUCCGGAUUUAUUGGGUUUAAAGGGUGCGUAGGCGGUUUGAUAAGUUAGAGGUGAAUCCCGGGGCUUAACUCCGGACUGCCUCUAAUACUGUUAGACUAGAGAGUAGUUGCGGUAGGCGGAAUGUAUGGUGUAGCGGUGAAA